CAGUUCGGAUCGGAGUCUGCAACCCGACUCCGUGAAGCUGGAUUCGCUAGUAAUCGCGCAUCAGCCAUGGCGCGGUGAAUACGUUCCCGGGCCUUGUACACACCGCCCGUCAAGCCAUGGGAGCCGGGGGUGCUUGAAGUGCGUCGCCGCAAGGCGCGCCCUAGAGCAAAAACCGGUGACUGGGGCUAAGUCGUAACAAGGUAAC
This 205-nucleotide ribosomal RNA is filed under the name uncultured bacterium. RNAcentral's name for it is "partial 16S ribosomal RNA". It matches the Rfam family "Bacterial small subunit ribosomal RNA", at positions 1289 to 1500 of the family's 1533-position model. The record is from RNAcentral.